This 253-nucleotide ribosomal RNA is filed under the name uncultured bacterium. RNAcentral's name for it is "partial 16S ribosomal RNA". It matches the Rfam family "Bacterial small subunit ribosomal RNA", at positions 524 to 776 of the family's 1533-position model. The record is from RNAcentral.
UACAGAGGUCCCGAGCGUUGUUCGGAUUCAUUGGGCGUAAAGGGUGUGUAGGUGGCGCCGUAAGUCGGGUGUGAAAUUUCGGAGCUUAACUCCGAAACUGCAUUCGAUACUGCGGUGCUUGAGGACUGGAGAGGAGACUGGAAUUCAUGGUGUAGCAGUGAAAUGCGUAGAGAUCAUGAGGAAGACCAGUGGCGAAGGCGGGUCUCUGGACAGUUCCUGACACUGAGACACGAAGGCCAGGGGAGCGAACGGG